Molecule: ribosomal RNA, 274 nt
Filed under: uncultured bacterium
Lineage: Bacteria
Description: partial 16S ribosomal RNA
Rfam family: Bacterial small subunit ribosomal RNA
Source: RNAcentral
AUACGAAAGGUGCAAGCGUUGUUCGGAUUUACUGGGCGUAAAGAGAUCGUAGGUGGUUUAUUAAGUCGGAUGUGAAAUCCCGGGGCUCAACCCCGGAACUGCAUUCGAUACUGGUAGACUAGAGUUUGGGAGGGGUAAGCGGAAUUCCGUGUGUAGCAGUGAAAUGCGUAGAUAUACGGAGGAACACCUGAGGCGAAGGCGGCUUACUGGACCAAUACUGACACUGAGGAUCGAAAGCGUGGGUAGCAAACAGGAUUAGAAACCCUAGUAGUCC